Molecule: long non-coding RNA, 811 nt
Organism: Andrographis paniculata
Lineage: Eukaryota; Viridiplantae; Streptophyta; Magnoliopsida; Lamiales; Acanthaceae
Exons: 5
Source: RefSeq, a predicted model, not a curated record
CUCGCAGUCAUCGAAGGUGUCAUCAAACCGUCCACUCACCAAGAACACAACACAAGUCCUCUUGCUCUACAACAAAAAUGCUCCGCUCAGAUCUUGUUGAUUGAAUAUAGAAAAAAUGUCCAGGAAAUCAUCUAAAUUUGUGUUGCUUCCGGCGUUCUACCUCUCUGCUGUUCGGCGUCAGCGUAGAUAUUUUUAUCGGAGAAAUGCAAAAUUGUUAAAGGGAGAAAGCGAUCUUCAAUAUUUAGCCGCACUUUUAUGGUUUUCAUUUGGUACAAUAAUCGUACUUUUGCAGGAAGUGCUUUCAGUGUAUCCAUUGUUGUCUAUCACUUCCUAACUCCAGAACAAUCUAAUAGAAUCUCCAAUGUUCUGAAUUUUCUUGAGGACUGCAUCACUUACCACUGUAAGUAGCACAAAAAGGUUGGGGCGGAUUAAAAGAUAUUAUCUAUGUCGAUCGUCUGCACAUUUUGCGCGCUACCGUGGCAUGCUUUGCCAUUUUCUCAAGGCCUCUCAAAGUGUCUGUAUCUAUAGUUGCAGCUGAGAAAGAAAGAAUAACAGACUACAAUGUGAAAAUUUUGUUGAUUAUUUAUCAUUUUUUUUUUGACAUUUGUAUCAUUAAGGUCAAAUUUGUAUUUUAUUUUUAUUUUUUUGGGAUAUUUAAGCACAAUUUAUCACAGAUUUGAAAUAAAUUGUGAUUGUGUUAUCCAACAGUAUCUCUAAAGUGUAACAGUGGCCUACUAUAAUCCAUAAAUAUAUAUACACAGGGGAAAAAUGCAUUACAAAACUUAUAUAUGAAUCUCCAUAUUAUUAAUUU